GCCAGGCAUAGUGGUGCACACCUGUAAUCCCAGCAGCUUGGGAGGCUGAGACAGGAGGAUCAUGAUUUCAAAGCCAGCCUCAGCAACAGCAGGGUGCUAAGCAACUCGGUGAGACCCUGUCUCUA
RNAcentral lists this small RNA (125 nucleotides) under Marmota monax (woodchuck). The record is from RNAcentral. Lineage: Eukaryota; Metazoa; Chordata; Mammalia; Rodentia; Sciuridae.